AAGUGCCUGGGCUGGAGGGACGGUGGCCCCACGAUGCAGCUGGGCUGACUGAGGCAGACAUUGAGUCCAGAAGAGAUGCUAGUCGCCUGGGGGGUCACCCAGCACCCUCAGAGCCCUUCACCUCUAAACCAGUGCUGUGAAAGAGUGCCAAGUGAUUAGUCUGGGAAAAGGACUGGGGCCUCCAGAGCCCGUCACAUGCACCCCACUUAGAGAUGGUGGCUGCCCCCACCUGGCCCAGGACAGCUAUCUGCUCUUGCUGCAGGUUCCUCCACAGCCAGGCACCCCAACUCCUCCCAUCACAGGCUGCCCUUCCUCGCUGCUCCCUCUCAACGCCAGGUUGUCAGGUCCUCCCAGGGGACAGUGAGAACAGAGCGCAGCCACCUCAGAGGACAUGCAGCCUACAAGACCCUGGGGAAGCUCCUCUCCUGUGGAAGCCGAGUCCUCUUCCCGAGCCUGGGUCGGCCACCCUCUGCAGCACCCACACUCAGUAGCCAGGGUGCAGGGAGGGGAAAUGGCGGGUGUUAGUCGAAGAGACAGUCUGUGGCUUAGCAAAUCAGUGUGACCUGGGGUGGGACACAGAGCCUUUCUUAGUCUCAGCCUCUAAGUUUGACUUACCUGCCAAACGGGAGUUGUGGUAUGUGACAGAAGGCUGAGAGUGUGGUGCCCGGCCCAACCAGCCACCGCGCACCUCCAUCAAUGCUGGGCUUCUCCCCUCCCCCUCUUCCGUCCUCCCUUCCUCCUUUCCUCCUCCCAAGCCUCCAGUUCAUCUCCUUCUCCUCCUCCUACUCACAUCCCGUAUGUCCCCUGUCCUCGUUGAAGCCCGAGGACAACAUCAGUGAUCACGCUCUCAGAGUGAACCAGACCUUCCUGUUUUGCUUCCCGAUGGCACCAGUUCCUCCUGAGGACAGAGCUGUCUCUGUUCCUCUGUGCCGUGGGCAGAUGGCGGGGAGUGUGUGUUCCUGCAGAAGAGCGUGCUGUCCCUGCUCCCCAGCCUCCCGCGGGCCCCUUCCUGGAAGACAUCCAGAAGGACCGGCAGCACUGCAUCAGCUUCCCAGACCACAGGAGCACUCACCACCUUCGAAAGCACGAGGCUGAGAGGAAUGACAUGGAGGGCCCCAUGGAGGUUUCCAGAGCACCAGGGACCAAGGCCCUGAGGACCGCAUUGGCUGUCAUUCAGACAUCGCAUCUGGCAGAGUGUCCUUGGCUGAAAGCGAUUGGAAACCAUUGCAGCCAUCUUUAACAGAGAGAGAUUUGGGGGAAGGAUAUUGGGGUCUCAUGGGGAUUUUGGAAGCUCGAAGGCCAUUCUGGUUGGUCAGGCUGCAAAGCACUGCUGUGGUCCUGCAGCAUAAACAUGCCGGUGUCUGCAAAGCCCCACAUCACAGCACUGCCACCACCAUGAGCUAUCCCCAAGUCACCAUGCCAUAUGCUCAGAAUACAAAACCAUGGGGCCUAGACCAAGUCACAUUUAUCUACCUUGGGACAAAAUUGGGGAAGAUAACUGUCUGGUUCUUUGGACCUUAUUAGUAGCCUAGAUCCCUGGGAAUCACACAAAAUGGGAGAUUCCCAAAGGGGAGAACCAAGCACUAAAUGAAAGACAAAUUGAAUGAUGGAUAGCAAAAGAUCAAAACAAAUAAAAACUCUCCCAAAAUGGAAAACAACUGACUAAAAUAAAUACAUAAUUAUGAAAAUAUUCCUUCAUUCAUGUCCCAUAGCAAUGUAAGCUCAUGCAUCAAUCACUGCAUGCACCACUCUUUAGCCUUUUUUUCAACUUUUAGGUUGACCUUGUAUUUUUAUCACAUUUUUGAUGCGUUCAGACUGCCAUGCUCACAUGCAUGUCGCCAGGAGAAGUAGCAAGCAGCUGAAAAUAAGGAAGAGCCCAAACCUCCUAGUGACCUUGAGAUCUCACUAUCCUUUGAUCUGAGUGUAAGUUCCUGGAAUUAUCUGGGACAGUCAAUGGUCAAGACGUCAUCUCAUGCCAGGGCUGCAGAGAUGCCAUGUUCAGACAGGGCGUUAGAGAUACCCAGCUAAGUCGUAGUGUAUUCUACUCUUCUUACACCUCUAUUUGGUAAUUCCUAUUAAAAUAUUAGCUUUGGAAGGGACCUUACCAGCAAUCCCAUUCAUUAUUGAAGACAAAAUCCAGAAGUGGGUUAUUCAAAAUUACCUCCAAGAAUGGUACACUGGCCUGGAAUAUUCUCGAACCCGUUCUGAAGCCCAUGAUAGACAUUCUAGUUCAAGUAUUAGGGCAUUGCUUCUGUCUUAAAAUGGCCCCAUUUCCUUUUUAAAGAAAAUCAUUCCACAGUUACCUGAUACAGAAAAGUAAAAUAAUUUUUUUCUGGCUCCACAGACAUUAAAUACAUGUUAAUGCAUAGUUCCUUAUUAAUAAACAAUGAAUGGUUCCCACUUAUGCAUGCAUGUGCAAACACAUGCCAAAGGGAGAAAUUAAACAGCUUCAAAUAUUUGUAUGUUUUGGUACAAAUGUGCAUAUUAGAUAUUAAAGUCAAAAUCCAGGAAGAAAAGGGUGAGAAGUUGUCGGGUAACCAUCAAUUUUAAACCAAGGGAUCUCAAAGAAACAAAGGAAAAUAAAAAUAAAAGAAACGAAACAGUAAGCUGGUCAAAUCUUGGAAAAUUUUGAUUCAAACUCCGGAUGGUUUUUGCUGGUGGGAUGACAGCAAGAGUGCACUUACCAACAAUUCAGUGGCCUCGCCAUGUGACGUGCCUUGGAUGUUAGCCAUUGUGACACAAGAAAGAGCUGAAAAGCACUGGCUGUCAGUUAUUUUCUCUUGCUUCUGCUUAAAUCCUGCCACGUGAGUGAGCCUGGGGGAGCUGGUUGGAGGAUGAGAUUUUCUGUGGACAAGAGACAAGAUAUUCUAGUUGAGUCCUCUUUGAUCAACCAGUCCUGACAGCCAGUGGGACUUGGCAGCAGAUGACAAAAGUCUAAAGGAGUAAGCCCUGCUGAGCUUAGUCCCGUUGCCUCCUUACGAACCAUAAGCUAAAUAAGUGGUUGCUCUGAGUUACUACAAAGAAAAAGCUGACACCGUAUGUGUUAGUCAGCCCUACCUUACUACAACAAAAUAUCUGAGGCAGCUACUUUAUAAAGAGAAAAAGGUUAUUUAACUCACAGUUUUGGAGGCUGAAAGUUCUCAAAGUAUGGACUUGGUGCCUGCCCCCUGGCUGCACCACCUCACGCACAGAUGGCAAUAAUGGGAACACAUGCAGGAGCAAGUGACUGAUCGAAUCCUGAACCAGGAGCAGAGAGGCAGGAAGGCUCCUCCCAGGGCAUGCCCCCAGUGACCUGAGGACCUCGAAGAGGCCCCACCUCUGCACAGUCUUCAAAAUCCAACCUCCAGUGCCUCUUGUUCUGUGGAACCUGUGUGUCCUUGCUAAUCCUGGUCCCUUCCUCGGGCUCCGUAAGACAUUGCACACGACUCCACUGCAGCCUUAGCAGCACACCCACUGUCACUACUGUUUAAAAAUGACCUGAGCAGCUGUAAGGUGACCUCCUUGAACACAGGACUGUCCGCUCCGGUUUUUCAUCCUUUGGGGAUAGCAUGCAGCCGGGCUCUGAUACCCAUGAUGAAUUAAGGAAUCAACUAACUAGACAUGCUGGAUGAACUUCAGAGAAUAAAUUUAAUGCAAUUUG
This is a non-coding RNA of Ictidomys tridecemlineatus (thirteen-lined ground squirrel), 3640 nucleotides long. The record is from RefSeq and is a predicted model, not a curated record. NCBI's taxonomy places the organism in Eukaryota, Metazoa, Chordata, Mammalia, Rodentia, Sciuridae.